ACCUGUUAAAGCUUCAAUCUUCAAUUUAAAAAAAAAACCCAGAAUUGUUUGCUUGUUUCUAUCCUCCAAUAACACACUUUCCCUUUGGUGUAUAGGCUGUAUUCAAAGCAAUAUGCACGCACACACACACACGGACUGAGCAAUCUCCCCUAUAGCUGAUAGAUUAGACAUUAACUAAAUGAGUUGAAUGCAGAAAACCCCCAUCCAUCUGCCACUGACUUAGGCAAGGACCCAUUCGCAAGGCUCAGCUGCUCGCCUGGAUCUGCCCAGAUGCACUCCACGAAGAGGCUGCUGCUAUGCUACGGGGGAAAAAAAUGAAAUCAGGAAGCAGCCCUUAAUAGAUGUUGAAAAGAACCUGUUAACCCAUUCUCUGGGCAGCUUGAUAACACAUGUGCAUGGAACACAGAGCCCGGCAGAGUUCAACAUGCAGAAAUAUUAUAUUGACUAAAUAAUCUCUGGUUUGGGCAAAGUUGGUAGUGGUAUAAAUAUUGGGUAAUGCACCAAGGCUGCGUGCGCUGCUCUUCUUAGAAAUAAUAAAAUCCACGAGGUGAGACAUCUCUCUGAGAGACUGAUUUUAAAUCUGGACUGGGGCUUAAUCCCAUAAACCCUGGGCUCAGAGGUAAGAGCACUACUCUAUUCCCCCUUAGCCACAGUUGACAUCUGAUGCAGUGCUUCACAAACAUUUUUUUUAAAUGCGUGUGUGUAUGUGCAUGUGUGUUAUGCUUUGUUAAACAAUACUUUCAAUUGUGACCUUUCUGAGACAUAAUUGUGGUGCCAGUGUUACCUCAGCUGGGGCUGUGGAAGAGUCAUUAAAUCUGGCCUCGGGGCACCUGGAUUAGGAAUGAGGUAUUCAUGUGGUCACUCUGUGAGACGUAGGGUUGGGCUUUGACAACAGUUCAUCGAGACUCAGUUGUGAGCAAAUGGGAGUCACGAGAAACUGCAGAUGCUGCAGCCUUGUGUAAAACACAAAAUGCUGGAGGAUCUCAGCGGGUCAAGCAACAUCUGUGGAGGGAAGGGAUAGGCGACGUUUAGUUUAGUUUAAUGUAGAGAUACGGCGUGGAAACAAGCCCUUCGGCCCACGGAGUCCACGCCGACCAGCGAUCCCCGUACACUAACACUAUCCCACACACACUAGGGACAAUUAAAUACCAAGUAUACAAAUCAAGUAAGCCGAUCAAUCUACGUCUUUGGAGUGUAGGAGGAAACUGGAGCACCCGGAGAAAACCCACACGAUCAAGGUUUCAAGGGAUCCCUGCCGGAUGUGGCUGCAAGAUUCCGGGUCAGGAUCAUCGGCCUGUCUGAAAUCAACGCUCACUGGCUGAUGAGACAUUUGGAAACUGUGCAAUCACACACCAGCGUUUGAGAGAAUUGAGGGCAAGCACGCUGUGAAGGACCUCCGCUUGAAAUUGGAUGAAAAAUCUUGGGGGUGGGGGGUGUAAAUCAGAUCACCGACAUCAAUCUGAAAUUUCUGCAAGGAGCUUUUUUAUAUGAAAAAUUAUAAAAUAGAACUGCACCAUCAGAGAAAAAAAGUUGCUUAUAUUGCAGUUGCAGGUAUAAAAUAUGUAAAAUUAUCCCUGGUACAUAUCUUAGGAUGAAGAUUGCUCAACAAUUCCAGUAUUUUGACAUUUGCAAUGCACAUUUUCUCCAAAUUUGCAUAACACUGAGUGCUCCGCAUGAGCUUUGAAACGUUCUCUAAAACAAUAAAACAACGAUUUAAAUUUCUCAAAUCAUUCCUGACACAUGGACUUCACCGGUGAGAAACAAGCCUCACUCUGUAUUUUGGAAAGAAAAAGUAUGCGCUAAUAAAAUUCGAAAGUAAUUUACAUCAUGAACGGAGACUGACUGACAGCAAGUUGCCAUGGAGAUAUUCCCAUGGGUUCUGACUCUGAGCUACUGACGGCAGCUGCGAGAAGCGCAGAACUAAUCAUCCUCCCACUCACGUGAGCUGGAUUCUGACUCAACCUGCCCUCUCUCUCAAAUCAGCUUUCAUUACACUGUGUUGGGGGAAAAAGAAUAACAUUGCCACUCAGCUGACUAUCAACACCGGAUGACUCUGGGCUGCGUGCUUUGUAGCACAGCUAUAGUCUCAGUGGGCUCGACAAUGGAGGCAGUAAUAAAUAGGUGGUUAUCAGCUACGUACACAGAGGGAUCAUGAUGGAUACAAUAGCCAGUGAUGGAGUUGAGGGAUUCUGAAUUAUGCCUUGCCGUUCCUACAUUUACUCCUAAGUUGCAAUGGCACAGUUGGCAAACACACUGCCAAACUUACAGGGAUGGAAAUGAAACAGUGAUGUUAGGGCAUUGAUUCCCACCUUAUCCCACCUUAGGACUCCACCUGUCAGAUGACCUGAUGUCCACAACCAACACCACAGCACUGGUCAAGAGAGCCCAGCAGCGACUACACCCUCUCCGAAGACUACGUAAAGCAGGUCU
This is a long non-coding RNA of Leucoraja erinaceus (little skate), 2430 nucleotides long. RefSeq lists it as uncharacterized. Lineage: Eukaryota; Metazoa; Chordata; Chondrichthyes; Rajiformes; Rajidae. The transcript has 3 exons. The record is from RefSeq and is a predicted model, not a curated record.